GGACAUGAGAAUAGAGCAUAUGUUAGCUCUUAAGGGUAUGAGGGAGAUGAUUUUUCCCCAAUGUGCUUCUGGACUAUAGGAGGUAUGUGUUCCAGAUUUUUAUUGUUAGAUAUACUUACCAAUUUUCAGGUUUUUCAGAUUAUUAAUAACGUACAAAAGUGUCACUAUUUUCAGGUUAUUUGAGAUCAUUGGUCCAACAUUGCUAGUACCUUGGAGGCUUGUUUACUUUAGUUUUUUAAUGGCUUGAUAGGAUAUUUGAGAACAUUUUUGUAUAAGUUAUUUAUGAACCCUC
RNAcentral lists this long non-coding RNA (292 nucleotides) under Sorghum bicolor (sorghum). RNAcentral's name for it is "long non-coding RNA (SBIC_LNC012057)". Lineage: Eukaryota; Viridiplantae; Streptophyta; Magnoliopsida; Poales; Poaceae. The record is from RNAcentral.